UUUGCCCUUAGUAGCGGCGAGUGAGCGGCAAAAGCUCAAAUUUGAAAUCUGGCACCUUCGGUGUCCGAGUUGUAAUUUGAAGAUUGUAACCUUGGGGUUGGCUCUUGUCUAUGUUUCUUGGAACAGGACGUCACAGAGGGUGAGAAUCCCGUGCGAUGAGAUGCCCAAUCCUAUGUAAGGUGCUUUCGAAGAGUCGAGUUGUUUGGGAAUGCAGCUCUAAGUGGGUGGUAAAUUCCAUCUAAAGCUAAAUAUUGGCGAGAGACCGAUAGCGAACAAGUACAGUGAUGGAAAGAUGAAAAGAACUUUGAAAAGAGAGUGAAAAAGUACGUGAAAUUGUUGAAAGGGAAGGGUUUGAGAUCAGACUCGAUAUUUUGUGAGCCUUGCCUUCGUGGCGGGGUGACCCGCAGCUUAUCGGGCCAGCAUCGGUUUGGGCGGUAGGAUAAUGGCGUAGGAAUGUGACUUUGCUUCGGUGAAGUGUUAUAGCCUGCGUUGAUGCUGCCUGCCUAGACCGAGGACUGCGAUUUUAUCAAGGGAUGCUGGCAUAAUGAUCCCAAACG
This 557-nucleotide ribosomal RNA is filed under the name Meyerozyma guilliermondii. RNAcentral describes it as "eukaryotic LSU rRNA". It matches the Rfam family "Eukaryotic large subunit ribosomal RNA", at positions 73 to 646 of the family's 3401-position model. The record is from RNAcentral. Lineage: Eukaryota; Fungi; Ascomycota; Pichiomycetes; Serinales; Debaryomycetaceae.